AGAGUUUGAUCCUGGCUCAGAUUGAACGCUGGCGGCAGGCUUAACACAUGCAAGUCGAGCGGAAACGAUGGUAGCUUGCUACCAGGCGUCGAGCGGCGGACGGGUGAGUAAUACUUAGGGAUCUACCUAGUAGUGGGGGAUAGCACGGGGAAACUCGUAUUAAUACCGCAUACGACCUACGGGAGAAAGGGGGCAGUUUACUGCUCUUGCUAUUAGAUGAGCCUAAGUCGGAUUAGCUAGAUGGUGGGGUAAAGGCCUACCAUGGCGACGAUCUGUAGCUGGUCUGAGAGGAUGAUCAGCCACACCGGAACUGAGACACGGUCCGGACUCCUACGGGAGGCAGCAGUGGGGAAUAUUGGACAAUGGGGGCAACCCUGAUCCAGCCAUGCCGCGUGUGUGAAGAAGGCCUUUUGGUUGUAAAGCACUUUAAGCAGUGAAGAAGACUCCGUGGUUAAUACCCACGGACGAUGACAUUAGCUGCAGAAUAAGCACCGGCUAACUCUGUGCCAGCAGCCGCGGUAAUACAGAGGGUGCAAGCGUUAAUCGGAAUUACUGGGCGUAAAGCGAGCGUAGGUGGCUUGAUAAGUCAGAUGUGAAAUCCCCGGGCUUAACCUGGGAACUGCAUCUGAUACUGUUAGGCUAGAGUAGGUGAGAGGAAGGUAGAAUUCCAGGUGUAGCGGUGAAAUGCGUAGAGAUCUGGAGGAAUACCGAUGGCGAAAGCAGCCUUCUGGCAUCAUACUGACACUGAGGCUCGAAAGCGUGGGUAGCAAACAGGAUUAGAUACCCUGUAGUCCACGCCGUAAACGAUGUCUACUAGUCGUUGGGUCCCUUGAGGACUUAGUGACGCAGCUAACGCAAUAAGUAGACCGCCUGGGGAGUACGGCCGCAAGGUUAAAACUCAAAGGAAUUGACGGG
Molecule: ribosomal RNA, 915 nt
Filed under: uncultured bacterium
Lineage: Bacteria
Description: bacterial SSU rRNA
Rfam family: Bacterial small subunit ribosomal RNA
Source: RNAcentral